AACCCUAAUUAUCUUACUUUUUAUCUAUAUUAUUUAAGAUUACUCAAAAAAAAAGAAUUAAACUGGUCCUAACUCAAGCAGUUGUCAAUUUUUGUCGUAAAUUGGGCAGUUCUCAAUUUUGCUACCCAAACUAAAAAAAAAAUUGAAAUAAUUGAAUUAAAACUGAACCAGUUUUGUAAAUCAUCAAACGUUUCUUAAAUAUUGAGAAGCAAAAAAACCAAAAUAUUCGAAGUUUAACGCCAAACCUAACUCAAGCAGUUGUCGGCUUGUACCAUUCCCAUCUUCCUUCUCACUUUCCUCGUUUUUCACGCCUCACAGAUCAUCUUUUCCAUCUCAG
RNAcentral lists this long non-coding RNA (337 nucleotides) under Brassica napus (rape). RNAcentral's name for it is "long non-coding RNA (BNAP_LNC011002)". Lineage: Eukaryota; Viridiplantae; Streptophyta; Magnoliopsida; Brassicales; Brassicaceae. The record is from RNAcentral.